This 1983-nucleotide long non-coding RNA is filed under the name Mus musculus (house mouse). Its description in RNAcentral is "long non-coding RNA chr15:9200493-9202476". Lineage: Eukaryota; Metazoa; Chordata; Mammalia; Rodentia; Muridae. The record is from RNAcentral.
CAGUUGAUAAUGAGCAGUACACUCAAGGAACUACUUUACUUCAAAUCCCACUCAGUGAAAUCGCAGUCUUGUACCUGAAGUAGUAAAACACAUUUUGCUAGACUAGUGAACAAUGUCUGAAUAGAAGCACAGUGCAUACUAGCUCAGUGCGUUUUCUUUGAUGUUACUAAAGAGGACACUGCAGUAAAAAUGUUUUCACUGUAAAGUUUUGUAUAAAAUGAUUUUUAAAAACUCAACAUUAAGAAUGUGAGAUAUUUCAUCAUAAAAAGGAAUUCAUAAAAGUGCACAUGUUAAAAGUGGAAUAGAUUAAGGGUUACACACCAGGCUGUGGCACAUGCCUUUAAUCCCAGCCCUUGGGAGGCAAGAGGCAGGUGGAUUUCUGAGUUUGAGGCCAGCCUUGUCUACAGAGUGAGUUUGAGGACAGCCAGGGCUACACAGAGAAACCCUGUCUCAAACAAAACAAAACAAAACAAAACAAAACAACAACAAAAUUAAGGGUUGCAAGAAGAGUGAAAUUUGAUUUCUUUUUGGAUAGUACUUCCAAAUCAGUGGCUUUUGUUGCUAGAGACUUGGAAGCCCAGGCAGGUUUGGCACCAUUUCUGGGUCUCAGCCCUGUGAGCCAUCCUCCUGCCCUCCUUUCUCCUGCCAAGGGAUCAUGCUCUCACCUCCAUUUCCUUCCAUAUUAGCCACUGUAACAAUAACAAAGUUCCAUUCUCAAAUGAUUUCUGGGUGGAGAUCAGGUGAGGUCUUGCUAUAAUUUAAAAGGUUCUUAAUAAAGUAAGACUGUGUAAUUCUGCUACUAUCUUAAAAGAUGUUUUUGCUUCUUCCUAGAAAACCCUUCCUUUUAUGAUUAUAUUGGUAACUUGUAAAAGAAUUUUGUUGUGUUUGAUGCAAAAGAAUAUUGGGAGUGGCUGACUGUGGCAGACAUGUAAGGCAAAUCCACAGCCUAUUAAAGUGCACAGCAUUUGCAUUUGGUAUUAUGGCAUAAAUCUCUAUCUUUAUUGAAAGAAUACUGGCUAAUAUCUUCCCUGUUAGGCAUGCCAAGUUGUAGGGGAGAGAUUGUGUUAUUUAUUUAUUUUUUUUUAAACAAUCCAAUGGAUUUGUUUUUGUCUGUAUUUUGAGAACAACUUGAAGGAUUUUUUUUUUCAUUUUAGAAGAUAGAGUAUGUAUACCUGCCUUUUAAGUUACUAUAACCUAAUAUAUAUAAAUUAUAACAUUGAAAAGUGCAAAAAGCUCUAAUUAUUGAUGUUAUUUCCCUGGUAUUUAAUUUUUAUAAAUGGUUUUGUAAGUAAAUAAUUGUAGUAUUGCUUUGAGUAGUUUAAAGUCAUCCUUAAAUAAGUUCUGACUCAACAUACUGCCUUAGUACAAUAUUCUAAAGUGAAGUACUCUGAUGUGAAUUUGAAACAUGCCUGCAUUUUCUAAGUUUCUUCAUAUGUAUAUGUACAUACACCAGUACCCAAGAAAAGCAUACCAGAAGCCUGAUUUCCACAUUGCAUUGAUAAGGAGCUUGGUCUUUUGCCUUCAUAUAAUUCAGUUGCCUGGGUGAAAUAGAACAUAAAUCUCUUCAAAUGUCUGUCCAUUCACAGUUUUCAAAAUGGUAACUUUUCAUCUGGGGAAGCAUGAUGCCAAGUUUAUCUGUAAUCAGCUCUAUUACUGGAUGUAUAACAACAGACAUUUUCCUACCUGGUCAGUAGGUUGUAGAUUUAACUGUUGUUGCUUUUUUCCCCCCAGUAGAUUUUCACUACAUUUUCAAAUCUAUAUUUGGAAAAACCUGCAAAGUGCUAUGAGUAAGUUAGCUAGCAUCUUUGGCCUUAUCUAUGCAUAACGUUUCUUAGCUUAAUUUUGACAAGCUCACUGACAGGUAAUUCCUUUGUAGUGUUGUAACUUACUGUGACGUAAUGAUUUUUUUUUAAUGUUUAUAUGAUUCAUUAUUAAAAUAUAGGAUAUUGUAUAGCUUUGCAUGAAAUAAAUGACAUCUCUAUG